This 661-nucleotide long non-coding RNA is filed under the name Physcomitrium patens. RNAcentral's name for it is "long non-coding RNA (PPAT_LNC003435)". Lineage: Eukaryota; Viridiplantae; Streptophyta; Bryopsida; Funariales; Funariaceae. The record is from RNAcentral.
GAAUUCGCUCACCAAGCCAUCACUCCUCUUUGAUGCACCCAUUUGUUGGAAUGUUGUUUGAUGUAUUCAGAAUACAUUUGUGAACUUACUUCAAGCCAACAUAAAUUUUUGAAAAAGAGUCUUUGGGAGGACAAGGACCUUAGAUAUGGAUGAAAAGGUGUGGAUGAGUGAGGUCGAUAGAUGGAUGACUGGAACAAGUGGAUGUCAGGCAGUGUACUCAUCAUGAUUCCCAUAGCCAUGAAAGUCUCUUCUCAGCUUCAAUUAUUUCAAGGAAGGCGGGGGGGGGAGAAAAAAGGAGAGCGCAAAAAAGAAAAAGACGAGAGGUCAUACAUACGUUUAUUUUUAUUUUUAUUUUUAAAAUUGAAGCAACACAUGAACCCUUGGGCCAAAAACUGUUCGAGAAUUUUUUUGACAACUCCAUGAAUCUUUGUCUGAUGGAUGUCCAGAGUGGCACAAAAUAUUAGCAAUCACGAGUAGAAUACAGCACAAUCUUCAAAGCUAUGUGUGUGUGUGUGUGUGUAUAUAUUUAUAAAUUUUUAAUCAGUUAGUGAAUAUUUUAAUUUCUUUUUUUAUACAAUAAAUUAUUUUUGUUUAUAUACAUGCACAUACAUUGUGACUUCAUGAUUCAUAGUUUUUAUUAAUCUUAGAAAAUAUCAAUUUU